Molecule: long non-coding RNA, 3764 nt
Organism: Esox lucius (northern pike)
Lineage: Eukaryota; Metazoa; Chordata; Actinopteri; Esociformes; Esocidae
Exons: 3
Source: RefSeq, a predicted model, not a curated record
GUGUUCACACAGAGUUAGAUAGAGGACUAGAGGUAUGUACUGAUUGUUGCCAUUUAAAGGAUUGUUGUCAUUAUAAAGUAGGUGUCAACUAGGUGCGCAUUUCUGUGAGUUGUAAUUUGGGUAUUACAUGAAACAUUUUUAACGUUAUAUCACUACCAUCUAGUGGCCACUAUAAAUAAGUAACAAGGCUCCGGCACUUAAUGGCCAUGCUAAACCCCCAACAUUCACUUAAACACUUGUUCUCAUAAUCUCACAUAUGAAGGCGAGACCUGUAUCUAACUCUGUGUUCACCCCAUAUCUACCUGUUGUUCUCCUGACGUGUUUUAAAGAGUGUAAUUAUUUAUUGGUCCAGAAGAAGGAACAGCGUGUGAACGGUAGGGGAGGGGCAUUUUCUCCAUAUAGUAUUCUUCGUGUAGGUCAAAGCUAAGGUAUGGUGAAGUUUAUUUUUUUUUAGACAAAGAUGACACCAUUAGUCAUUCGGUGGGUUCCAUAAAACAAGGGGGUGCCGUGUUGACGCGUGCCGCCCAGCUCUCUGACUAAAGUGACAUCCUUGCACUCUUUUCUAGACCUUAACCUGUAGACUCUCCGGGAGUAUUUUUUGUGCUCAUAUCAGUUUUUGUACGCUCACCUUCAGUCUACGGAAGGAUGUCGGGUGUACGCACUCCACCUGUUCUGUUGCAAGGGUAUUUAACAGGUAGGGUCUUAGCGUUCUGAUAGCAAACUUUAGUUUUAGGACUUCUGUUUGGAAUAGUGAUUACACCCCAGACCACUACUGUUCUGACUUUCUCUUGGAUCAUAAGCACCUGAUCCUGCUGCAUUAGAAACAUUUCUGCCAGGGAGCUGGGUGAAUCACGAACAUUUGCUUGUUUACAGGUGACACUCUUCUGAAACAGUCAGUAAGGAAAACAACACCUACACUGUUUGAGUAGACCAGCCUGAUCUCGUGGGCACAAAUUGUUUUCCGUUUGAGUGAACAAAAGUGUGAAAACAGCAAUCGCUUUGGCAUCAUGAGGCUGGCGUGACUGACCUUACUGUUCAGAAACGACCCACAGAUACGAAAACGUGCACAAUCUGUGUUUUUUCAUUAGUGUCAGCAUAAACCCGCCAACAUCUAAAAUGUAACAUAUCUGUUUUGACUUGUCUCCUACAUUCAUUUUUAUGUGAAGGUAACUUUUGUAAGUACUGCAGUCAGUUAGUUACUGCAGGUAUAGAUUUUAAUAAAGUCAAUGUUCUUUUGUUCUACAUGCGCAAGACUGUUUGAAAAGAUUCAGCACCCUAUGACACUUGAUUAACUGCAUUCUGUGCUCUGCGUCAGUUCUAGGAAUGACAACCCAACUGUUUCCAUGGUGCCUAGGAUGGUGACGUCAUAGCUGAGAAUAUACACUGCCUUGCAAACAUAUUCAAGGCUCUGAACAAAUCUACCAUAUCACUGGAUUACAAAUGCUGGGAGACGAACACACACCCACCCACCCUGCAGGAAAGGAGCAGAAGGAUAAAACUUUUCGUCUUUCACACGCACACCCACGUAUUCUGAUGUCUCUUUGUCCUGUGGCUUUUAAUGUCGCUGUAAUAUGGAAGCCUGCAGAGGUUUGUGUGUGUAUGAGUCAUCGGUGGUCCCACCAGCUCUCUUCUCAUCGUCCUGAGCCAAGCCGACACAACAGGGUCACCCUGCACCUCAGGACACACGCCAGAGACCCAGCAUGUGAGAAGAGCUGCUGGCGGAGUAACUGGGAGCUUGUUCACAUGAUCCAGGCUGUCAGCUAGCCCAGUUGUUGCUGCUAGCUCAUCAUCCUAGCAGUUGUGGCUGUUUACCUCACAGUUGGCAGCAGAUUGGGACUGGGAGCUGGCUGGCUAACCGUAAUACAACGUUAGUUCUGAUCAUUUUUAGCAUAUCUUGGUCUCUGAGCUCAACCUUAGGUCCCACUGUCAUACUCACUGAUAUUUUGAACAGGCUUGGCUACUAGCUAGAGUGGACAUGACUUGAGGAACAUCAACGUUAGCGGCCAAACAUUGCGCAAGUAUGACAAAUCAGUAAUUAAAAUAUUCCAAAAAUGACAAAUACAAUUAUAUUUGUGGGGUUCCUAAUUUCAUUAAAUAAACAGAAAAAUGUGUUUGUCAUCAUUUGGCAGCUGCCUCAGACUUUUGGUAUAUAACAUAUUAUAUAGCUAGGCAACCCUAUAUUUAUUUUUACCCAAUUGCCUGGGGCCCCUACACAUAAAUACUAAGUCAAGUAAACCUCCUGUACUUUGGUGAAUAGACUCGCUCACCGCCUAACAUGUCCAUAAAUAAGAAAACACAAACAGAAGACAAUAUGUUGUACUGGACAUAACCCCUAUCCUCACACAGCACAACAUGGCACUUCAGUCAUUCCAAGUUGGCAUUAUCAGGAGUGUAUUGGCCACAUUUGAUUUGAAGCUAAUCAUAUUGCAAGUUGUGGCUAUGAACUGAGCAAUAUUUCUGACAUUAGAUUACAUCCAGUCUAGUCUCAACCAGCCACUUUAUACGUACAAGUUAACCAGCUAUAGCCUACAACACUAAAUUAAAUGUUCCUUCAAAUGGCUAACUAGCUGGCUUCUAUGGUAACGUUAUUUCAUCAGUCAACCAAGUUGUAACAGCCUUCAAAACUUUUGGGGGAAGGUUUCUGGGAAUGUUAUUACCAUUAUUCUAACUCCUUGUGAGAAGCCCUUCUGAUUUACGGUACAUGGUGGUGCUCAAAUAAGAAUGUUAGAAUUGAUUUCCAUUUAACUUAUGAGUUGAAAUUGGAAUUUAAUCACCAAAAUCCAUUUAAAACUAAUCAAUAAGAUAUAUGGACACUACGUCAAAACCAGGAGCUGUUCUUGGAAAUAUACCACAAACCACAAGAAGCCUUAUUUCUAUUAUUAUCCAGUUACCAUGUAAUUAGAACGGUAAAGAGUAAUGUAAUAUCAUACCCGUGAGGUCUCACAUAUUUAAUGGCUUUAAACCAAUCAGCAUUCAGAAUUUGAACCACCUAGUAAGUUUAUGAUUUGCAUUAGAGUUUGUUUGAAAGGAUAAAUAAUAAUGGAAUAUACUGUGGGAUAUUUCUCUUUAAUAUUGCAUGCUGUGUACUGUUUUAACCUUUGUGCUUUGAACAUUUUAUUUCAACCAACCAUUUAAUGUUUGGAAGAGGAUGGAUGGAGGCCUAAAAAAAGGCUAUUUAGCAUGCAAAGCUUGUUGUGCUGUGUGAAGUGGGUGGGACAGCCUAUGGGUUUGGGAGGAUUACAUUAAUUCAUCCAGAUCAUCGGGGGGAUCAUCAUUUGACAGAAUACAGCCUGCGCUGUGGCAAUAUGUUUACUUGUCUUUUAUAGUGCAUACAAUAAUAGUCAGGGAAAAAAGUCAUGUUGAUAGUUAUAGUUAGCAUUUUUUGUAAUGAUUUAUGGACAUAACCUUUUGAAGGGCUGAAUACCUCAGCUGUAGGCUAUAUUGUCGCCAUUUAGCUGAAUACAUUAUUGACCAAAAUUUGUUCCAGCCCUACAUAUGGCUGUAAAUCAAAAUGUAUGUAUAAAUUAAGCACUUAUCAAACUAUUUGGCAAAAAUAAUUAAAUGUGCCCGAAAAAUAUAUCUUUGAAAAUGUGUUUAUGGUGCUGGCCGUGUGCUAACAGAAACCAUAAUGAGAAAUGCAUAGAACGAGUUAUCUAUCCUUGGCUUUUAGAGGCAAUCUGGGUCAACUUGAGGGAGUAAAUGAAUGCAUUUCGGGAAGUGUGAUAUUUUAUAAGAGACCAUUGCACCUUUUUCUUUGCUUUCCA